This 72-nucleotide transfer RNA is filed under the name Camelus bactrianus (Bactrian camel). It matches the Rfam family "tRNA". Rfam says of the family: Transfer RNA (tRNA) molecules are approximately 80 nucleotides in length. Their secondary structure includes four short double-helical elements and three loops (D, anti-codon, and T loops). Lineage: Eukaryota; Metazoa; Chordata; Mammalia; Artiodactyla; Camelidae. The record is from Rfam by way of RNAcentral. RNAcentral also lists the same sequence under 1 other name.
GAGGGUAUAGCUCAGUGGUAGAGUGCGUGCUUAGCAUGCAUGAGGUCCUGGGUUCAAUCCCCAGUACAUCCA